This 230-nucleotide long non-coding RNA is filed under the name Physcomitrium patens. RNAcentral describes it as "long non-coding RNA (PPAT_LNC012092)". The record is from RNAcentral. Lineage: Eukaryota; Viridiplantae; Streptophyta; Bryopsida; Funariales; Funariaceae.
GAAGUUAGGAUGUGAAUUAUUUACUGACUGUCACUCUUUUAAGCAUAGAAAAAGUUGUAGAAGGUUUUCUAGAAAACAAAAGAUAUUGUUGGAAAGCUAGUUUGAAGGAAUGCAAUUUUUGUGCAAGGAUUGUUAACUUUGAGUCUGCAAUGAGAGAGUUAUGGCUAUUAAAAGUCUAGAUGUAAAAUUUGUACCUACUAUCACUCUUUCAAGCAUACAAAGAGUUGUAG